GGGUCAGCGACUUAUAUUCUGUAGCAAGGUUAACCGAAUAGGGGAGCCGGAGGGAAACCGAGUCUUAAUUGGGCGUUAAGUUGCAGGGUAUAGACCCGAAACCCGGUGAUCUAGCCAUGGGCAGGUUGAAGGUUGGGUAACACUAACUGGAGGACCGAACCGACUAAUGUUGAAAAAUUAGCGGAUGACCUGUGGCUGGGGGUGAAAGGCCAAUCAAACCGGGAGAUAGCUGGUUCUCCCCGAAAGCUAUUUAGGUAGCGCCUCGUGAAUUCAUCUCCGGGGGUAGAGCACUGUUUCGGCUAGGGGGCCAUCCCGGCUUACCAACCCGAUGCAAACUGCGAAUACCGGAGAAUGUUAUCACGGGAGACACACGGCGGGUGCUAACGUCCGUCGUGAAGAGGGAAACAACCCAGACCGCCAGCUAAGGUCCCAAAGUCAUGGUUAAGUGGGAAACGAUGUGGGAAGGCCCAGACAGCCAGGAUGUUGGCUUAGAAGCAGCCAUCAUUUAAAGAAAGCGUAAUAGCUCACUGGUCGAGUCGGCCUGCGCGGAAGAUGUAACGGGGCUAAACCAUGCACCGAAGCUGCGGCAGCGAACGUAUCACCCAAGACAACUUUACGGAGUUGACGAUUGACGGAGCGAAGCGACGUCAAAGCGUUCAUUAAAGUCGAGUUGGCUUAGGGAUACGUUCGUUGGGUAGGGGAGCGUUCUGUAAGCCUGUGAAGGUGUGUCGUGAGGC
This 737-nucleotide ribosomal RNA is filed under the name Salmonella enterica subsp. enterica. RNAcentral describes it as "partial 23S ribosomal RNA". It matches the Rfam family "Bacterial large subunit ribosomal RNA", at positions 617 to 1269 of the family's 2925-position model. The record is from RNAcentral. Lineage: Bacteria; Pseudomonadati; Pseudomonadota; Gammaproteobacteria; Enterobacterales; Enterobacteriaceae.